RNAcentral lists this ribosomal RNA (241 nucleotides) under uncultured bacterium. RNAcentral's name for it is "partial 16S ribosomal RNA". It matches the Rfam family "Bacterial small subunit ribosomal RNA", at positions 524 to 762 of the family's 1533-position model. The record is from RNAcentral.
UACGUAGGGGGCAAGCGUUGUCCGGAAUCAUUGGGCGUAAAGCGCGUGUAGGCGGUUCAGUAAGUCUGCUGUGAAAGUCCAAGGCUCAACCCUGGGAUGCCGGUGGAUACUGCUGGGCUAGAGUACGGAAGAGGCGAGUGGAAUUCCCGGUGUAGCGGUGAAAUGCGCAGAUAUCGGGAGGAACACCGAUGGCGAAGGCAGGUCACUGGGCCCGCAACUGACGCUGAGGAGCGAAAAGCAU